GCCGAAGUAGCUCAGUGGCAGAGCAUCUGUUUUGUAAACAGUAGGUCGGGAGUUCGAUCCUCCCCUUCGGCUCAA
Molecule: transfer RNA, 75 nt
Filed under: Candidatus Shapirobacteria bacterium CG10_big_fil_rev_8_21_14_0_10_40_9
Lineage: Bacteria; Candidatus Shapironibacteriota
Description: tRNA-Thr
Rfam family: tRNA
About the family: Transfer RNA (tRNA) molecules are approximately 80 nucleotides in length. Their secondary structure includes four short double-helical elements and three loops (D, anti-codon, and T loops).
Source: RNAcentral